RNAcentral lists this ribosomal RNA (911 nucleotides) under uncultured Hypocreales. RNAcentral describes it as "SSU rRNA". It matches the Rfam family "Eukaryotic small subunit ribosomal RNA", at positions 419 to 1343 of the family's 1831-position model. Lineage: Eukaryota; Fungi; Ascomycota; Sordariomycetes; Hypocreales. The record is from RNAcentral.
AAGAAGCCACCAGGCGCCCAAUACCCAUUCCGACACGGGAGGUAGGGCAAUAAUGCUGAUACAGGGCUCUUUUGGGUCUUGUAUUGCAAAUGAGUNCAUUUAAAUCCCUUAACGAGGACCAUUGGAAGGGCAAGUCUGGUGCCAGCAGCCGCGGUAAUUCCAGCUCCAAUAGCGUAUAUUAAAGUUGUUGUGGUUAAAAAGCUCGUAGUUGAACCUUGGGCCUGGCUGNCCGGUCCGCCUCACCGCGUGUACUGGUCCGGCCGGGCCUUUCCCUCUGUGGAACCCCAUGCCCUUCACUGGGUGUGGCGGGGAAACAGGACUUUUACUGUGAAAAAAUUAGAGUGCUCCAGGCAGGCCUAUGCUCGAAUACAUUAGCAUGGAAUAAUAGAAUAGGACGUGUGGUUCUAUUUUGUUGGUUUCUAGGACCGCCGUAAUGAUUAAUAGGGACAGUCGGGGGCAUCAGUAUUCAAUUGUCAGAGGUGAAAUUCUUGGAUUUAUUGAAGACUAACUACUGCGAAAGCAUUUGCCAAGGAUGUUUUCAUUAAUCAGGAACGAAAGUUAGGGGAUCGAAGACGAUCAGAUACCGUCGUAGUCUUAACCAUAAACUAUGCCGACUAGGGAUCGGACGGUGUUAUUUUUUGACCCGUUCGGCACCUUACGAGAAAUCAAAGUGCUUGGGCUCCAGGGGGAGUAUGGUCGCAAGGCUGAAACUUAAAGAAAUUGACGGAAGGGCACCACCAGGGGUGGAGCCUGCGGCUUAAUUUGACUCAACACGGGGAAACUCACCAGGUCCAGACACAAUGAGGAUUGACAGAUUGAGAGCUCUUUCUUGAUUUUGUGGGUGGUGGUGCAUGGCCGUUCUUAGUUGGUGGAGUGAUUUGUCUGCUUAAUUGCGAUAACGAACGAGACCU